AUGUCAUAACCAUUGUCCACCAAAGAGCAGCACUGAGCAGAAAUAACACGGCUCCUGUUCAUUCUCCAUCAGUGAGGGGCCGGUGCUGGACACUGUGUAGGGACGCGGGAAUGCAAAGUCAUACACAUGACUGUGACUGAUGCAGUAUCUCCAGGACAUGGAGUAGCAUUUCCGGACCUACAGCAAGACGUUGGAUGAAGGCAUAGCCCCAGAAAUAACACUGGUCCUGUUCAUCAGUGAGGGGCCGGUGCUGGACACUGUGUAGGGACACGGGAAUGCAAAGUCAUGCACAUGACUGUGACAGAUGCACUAUUUCCAGGACAUGGAGUAGCAUUUCGGGACCUACAGCAAGACGUUGGAUGAAGGCACAGGCCUAGGAAUCAUGCACAUACACAGAAACAUUUGCCCAAAUUAUAGAGGUAACCUCCUUUAGUAUGCCCAGAGGAAGGGCCAUACAGUAGCCAUGGAUUCCCUACAGGUUUCCUCCCCUCUGGAGGUUUUUCCUGUCCUGAGUAUUAGUUACUGUACGCUCUUUGUGAGUGAUGGGAGGUUACAAAAAGUCCCCUACACAAACAUUUUAAUAAAUAAUAAAUAAAGUUCCCCUUUUUUAAAACUG
Hyla sarda is the source of this 616-nucleotide long non-coding RNA. RefSeq lists it as uncharacterized. NCBI's taxonomy places the organism in Eukaryota, Metazoa, Chordata, Amphibia, Anura, Hylidae. The record is from RefSeq and is a predicted model, not a curated record. The transcript has 3 exons.